This 254-nucleotide ribosomal RNA is filed under the name uncultured bacterium. RNAcentral's name for it is "partial 16S ribosomal RNA". It matches the Rfam family "Bacterial small subunit ribosomal RNA", at positions 524 to 776 of the family's 1533-position model. The record is from RNAcentral.
UACGUAGGGUGCGAGCGUUGUCCGGAAUUAUUGGGCGUAAAGAGCUCGUAGGCGGUGUGUCACGUCGGCCGUGAAAACCUGGGGCUCAACUCUGGGCGUGCGGUCGAUACGGGCAUCACUAGAGUUCGGCAGGGGAGACUGGAAUUCCUGGUGUAGCGGUGAAAUGCGCAGAUAUCAGGAAGAACACCCGUGGCGAAGGCGGCUCUCUGGGACGGUACUGACGCUGAGACGCGAAAGCGUGGGGAGCGAACAGG